UACUGUCUUAUUUCAGAUCUUAUGGUAACA
RNAcentral lists this non-coding RNA (30 nucleotides) under Rattus norvegicus (Norway rat). Lineage: Eukaryota; Metazoa; Chordata; Mammalia; Rodentia; Muridae. The record is from RNAcentral.